RNAcentral lists this ribosomal RNA (253 nucleotides) under uncultured bacterium. RNAcentral's name for it is "partial 16S ribosomal RNA". It matches the Rfam family "Bacterial small subunit ribosomal RNA", at positions 524 to 776 of the family's 1533-position model. The record is from RNAcentral.
UACGAAGGGGGCUAGCGUUGUUCGGAAUUACUGGGCGUAAAGCGCACGUAGGCGGCUACUUAAGUCAGGGGUGAAAUCCCGGGGCUCAACCCCGGAACUGCCUUUGAUACUGGGUAUCUCGAGUCCGGAAGAGGUGAGUGGAAUUCCGAGUGUAGAGGUGAAAUUCGUAGAUAUUCGGAGGAACACCAGUGGCGAAGGCGGCUCACUGGUCCGGUACUGACGCUGAGGUGCGAAAGCGUGGGGAGCAAACAGG